This is a long non-coding RNA of Danio aesculapii, 755 nucleotides long. RefSeq lists it as uncharacterized. The transcript is spliced from 3 exons. The record is from RefSeq and is a predicted model, not a curated record. NCBI's taxonomy places the organism in Eukaryota, Metazoa, Chordata, Actinopteri, Cypriniformes, Danionidae.
CUUUACUAUCAUAAGGCAUAGAAUAAAGCCAUUAUAACUGCUAAAUUUCCCAUUCCAGUAGUGUUUGGAUUGGGUAAUUUUCUAGCUAAGUGGUUUAUGCUGCUCUGUGGGUUCUCCAGAUCUGCAUUUUAAGAGCCGGUAGAUCCUUCCCUCCACCAGGUUACUCUGAUUGUCCAGAUACUCAUCCCUGAUGCUGAUAUCAGAACAGAGGAAAGCCAGAUGCUGGUUGAGCUUCACUAGUCCCACCAGGACGAUCCCGCCGAACAACAUGAGGCUGGGCCACAGCAGACUCCAUCGUCACAGCCAACUCCACUCUGUGUCUCAAAUCCUCCGACAUACACGUUGAGCCACUCAACAAACAGCAGGAAAGCCGUCCACAAGGAGCCUUGGCCAGCAGAUCCUGAUGUCAUCAGACACUGCCUUCAUCUUCUUUCCUGAAUGACUGUGAACAUUCUCCAGUAGUCACUGGGAUUCCUCUACUGCAGCCAAGCUUAAUUGGGAGCAGCAUAAGAAUCUUAAUAGCAGCAUAAGAAAUGGGACAUCACUACUACACCAUCAUUUAUCAUUAUACAUCAAGGUUGUAACAAGCACAUAGUAAGCACCAAUUUGUAAAAAAAAAUAAUUGUGUUCAAGUUUUUUGGACAUGACCACCAGAAAACAGUAGUUAUUAACCUUACACAUUACUAAUUGUUUUACACACUGUAAAGCCUAACAUUUUAGUUUAACUUGUAAUUUAAAAAAAGUUACUUUGACUA